Non-coding RNA from Podarcis lilfordi (Lilford's wall lizard), 75 nucleotides. The record is from the annotation of a GenBank genome assembly. NCBI's taxonomy places the organism in Eukaryota, Metazoa, Chordata, Lepidosauria, Squamata, Lacertidae.
UCAGGGUAGCUUAGUCGGUAGAGCAUGAGGCUCUGAAUUUCAGAGUUGUGGGUUUGAGCCCCACACUGGGCAAAA